This 254-nucleotide ribosomal RNA is filed under the name uncultured bacterium. Its description in RNAcentral is "partial 16S ribosomal RNA". It matches the Rfam family "Bacterial small subunit ribosomal RNA", at positions 524 to 776 of the family's 1533-position model. The record is from RNAcentral.
UACAGAGGUGGCAAGCGUUGUUCGGAAUUACUGGGCGUAAAGGGCGCGUAGGCGGUCUUCUAAGUCUUGUGUGAAAUCCCUCGGCUCAACUGAGGAACUGCACGGGAUACUGGAAGACUUGAGUUCGGGAGAGGGAAGCGGAAUUCCGGGUGUAGCGGUGAAAUGCGUAGAUAUCCGGAGGAACACCGGUGGCGAAGGCGGCUUCCUGGACCGAUCACUGACGCUGAGGCGCGAAAGCCAGGGGAGCGAACGGG